RNAcentral lists this unclassified non-coding RNA (200 nucleotides) under uncultured Ascomycota. Its description in RNAcentral is "sequence contains ITS2". Lineage: Eukaryota; Fungi; Ascomycota. The record is from RNAcentral.
UUAAGUUCAGCGGGUAUCCCUACCUGAUCCGAGGUCAAAGUAAAAAAAGGCUUGUGGAAGGGGGUCUGCUGAAAUCGCUUGCAAUGUGCUGCGCACGAAGCCAACAUACCGGCUGCCAAUGAAUUUAAGGCGAGUCCACGCGCUGAGGCGGAACAAACACCCAACACCAAGCAUAGCUUGAAGGUUUAAAUGACGCUCGA